RNAcentral lists this ribosomal RNA (487 nucleotides) under Dietzia maris. RNAcentral's name for it is "bacterial SSU rRNA". It matches the Rfam family "Bacterial small subunit ribosomal RNA", at positions 380 to 877 of the family's 1533-position model. The record is from RNAcentral. Lineage: Bacteria; Bacillati; Actinomycetota; Actinomycetes; Mycobacteriales; Dietziaceae.
AGCCUGAUGCAGCGACGCCGCGUGGGGGAUGACGGUCUUCGGAUUGUAAACCCCUUUCAGUAGGGACGAAGCGCAAGUGACGGUACCUGCAGAAGAAGCACCGGCUAACUACGUGCCAGCAGCCGCGGUAAUACGUAGGGUGCGAGCGUUGUCCGGAAUUACUGGGCGUAAAGAGCUCGUAGGCGGUUUGUCACGUCGUCUGUGAAAUCCCUCGGCUUAACCGGGGGCGUGCAGGCGAUACGGGCAGACUUGAGUACUACAGGGGAGACUGGAAUUCCUGGUGUAGCGGUGAAAUGCGCAGAUAUCAGGAGGAACACCGGUGGCGAAGGCGGGUCUCUGGGUAGUAACUGACGCUGAGGAGCGAAAGCAUGGGUAGCGAACAGGAUUAGAUACCCUGGUAGUCCAUGCCGUAUUUUGGUGGGCGCUAGGUGUGGGGUCCUUCCACGGACUCCGUGCCGUAGCUAACGCAUUAAGCGCCCCGCCUGGG